GAUGAACGCUGGCGGCGUGCUUAACACAUGCAAGUCGAACGGAAAGGCCCAAGCUUGCUUGGGUGCUCGAGUGGCGAACGGGUGAGUAACACGUGGGUGAUCUGCCCUGCACUUUGGGAUAAGCCUGGGAAACUGGGUCUAAUACCGGAUAGGACCAUCGUUUAGUGUCGGUGGUGGAAAGUUUUUCGGUGUGGGAUGAGCUCGCGGCCUAUCAGCUUGUUGGUGGGGUAAUGGCCUACCAAGGCGUCGACGGGUAGCCGGCCUGAGAGGGUGUACGGCCACAUUGGGACUGAGAUACGGCCCAGACUCCUACGGGAGGCAGCAGUGGGGAAUAUUGCACAAUGGGCGCCAGCCUGAUGCAGCGACGCCGCGUGGGGGAUGACGGCCUUCGGGUUGUAAACUCCUUUCGCCAAGGACGAAGCGUUUUGUGACGGUACUUGGAGAAGAAGCACCGGCUAACUACGUG
RNAcentral lists this ribosomal RNA (466 nucleotides) under uncultured bacterium. Its description in RNAcentral is "partial 16S ribosomal RNA". It matches the Rfam family "Bacterial small subunit ribosomal RNA", at positions 28 to 507 of the family's 1533-position model. The record is from RNAcentral.